GGUGACCAGCGGAGGGAUCAUUACCGAGUUUACAACUCCCAAACCCCUGUGAACAUACCUUAAUGUUGCCUCGGCGGAUCAGCCCGCGCCCCGUAAAACGGGACGGCCCGCCAGAGGACCCAAACUCUAAUGUUUCUUAUUGUAACUUCUGAGUAAAACAAACAAAUAAAUCAAAACUUUCAACAACGGAUCUCUUGGUUCUGGCAUCGAUGAAGAACGCAGCAAAAUGCGAUAAGUAAUGUGAAUUGCAGAAUUCAGUGAAUCAUCGAAUCUUUGAACGCACAUUGCGCCCGCUGGUAUUCCGGCGGGCAUGCCUGUUCGAGCGUCAUUUCAACCCUCAAGCCCCCGGGUUUGGUGUUGGGGAUCGGCUCUGCCCUUCUGGGCGGUGCCGCCCCCGAAAUACAUUGGCGGUCUCGCUGCAGCCUCCAUUGCGUAGUAGCUAACACCUCGCAACUGGAACGCGGCGCGGCCAUGCCGUAAAACCCCAACUUCUGAAUGUUGACCUCGGAUCAGGUAGGAAUACCCGCUGAACUUAAGCAUAUC
Molecule: ribosomal RNA, 543 nt
Filed under: Fusarium sp.
Lineage: Eukaryota; Fungi; Ascomycota; Sordariomycetes; Hypocreales; Nectriaceae
Description: eukaryotic LSU rRNA
Rfam family: 5.8S ribosomal RNA (bases 175-328)
Source: RNAcentral